RNAcentral lists this non-coding RNA (196 nucleotides) under Enterococcus hermanniensis. RNAcentral's name for it is "T-box sequence". It matches the Rfam family "T-box leader". Rfam says of the family: Uncharged tRNA acts as the effector for transcription antitermination of genes in the T-box leader family. T-boxes are found upstream of many aminoacyl-tRNA synthetase genes and some amino acid biosynthetic genes usually in Gram-positive bacteria. Lineage: Bacteria; Bacillati; Bacillota; Bacilli; Lactobacillales; Enterococcaceae. The record is from RNAcentral.
UUAUUCGCCUAGAAGAGGAGUAGUAGAAACGAACGCAUUUCAGAGAGCCCACGGUGCUGAGAGUGGACAUGCGAGAACUUCGAACUUACCUUGGAGCAUGAUCGAAUGAUCGAUCCGGUUAGAGACCGUUAUUUCUGUUGAGGUCUGCCAUAGAGCAGAUAAAGAUAGGUGGUACCACGUUGAUAACGUCCUAUAA